UACGGAGGGUCCAAGCGUUGUCCGGAUUUAUUGGGUUUAAAGGGUCCGCAGGCGGCCUGUUAAGUCAGAGGUGAAAUCCUACCGCUCAACGGUAGAACUGCCUUUGAUACUGAAAGACUUGAGUCAUUGUGAAGUGGUUAGAAUGUGUGGUGUAGCGGUGAAAUGCUUAGAUAUCACACAGAAUACCCAUUGCGAAGGCAGAUCACUAACAAUGUACUGACGCUCAUGGACGAAAGCGUGGGUAGCGAACAGG
RNAcentral lists this ribosomal RNA (253 nucleotides) under uncultured bacterium. RNAcentral's name for it is "partial 16S ribosomal RNA". It matches the Rfam family "Bacterial small subunit ribosomal RNA", at positions 524 to 776 of the family's 1533-position model. The record is from RNAcentral.